RNAcentral lists this unclassified non-coding RNA (225 nucleotides) under uncultured fungus. RNAcentral describes it as "sequence contains ITS1, 5.8S rRNA gene". The stretch from base 177 to 225 matches the Rfam family "5.8S ribosomal RNA", at positions 1 to 49 of the family's 154-position model. Lineage: Eukaryota; Fungi. The record is from RNAcentral.
UCUCCGUAGGUGAACCUGCGGAGGGAUCAUUACUGAGUGAGGGCUCCGGCCCGACCUCCAACCCCAUGUGAACCGAAACCUGUUGCUUCGGGGGCGACCCUGCCGUUCGGCGCGGCGCCCCCGGAGGCUCAUCAAACACUGCAUCUUUGCGUCGGAGUCUUAAUGAAUUUAAACAAAACUUUUAACAACGGAUCUCUUGGUUCUGGCAUCGAUGAAGAACGCAGC